This 392-nucleotide ribosomal RNA is filed under the name uncultured bacterium. Its description in RNAcentral is "partial 16S ribosomal RNA". It matches the Rfam family "Bacterial small subunit ribosomal RNA", at positions 523 to 918 of the family's 1533-position model. The record is from RNAcentral.
CUACGUAUGUCGCAAGCGUUAUCCGGAUUUAUUGGGCGUAAAGCGCGUCUAGGCGGCUUAGUAAGUCUGAUGUGAAAAUGCGGGGCUCAACCCCGUAUUGCGUUGGAAACUGCUAAACUAGAGUACUGGAGAGGUAGGCGGAACUACAAGUGUAGAGGUGAAAUUCGUAGAUAUUUGUAGGAAUGCCGAUGGGGAAGCCAGCCUACUGGACAGAUACUGACGCUAAAGCGCGAAAGCGUGGGUAGCAAACAGGAUUAGAUACCCUGGUAGUCCACGCCGUAAACGAUGAUUACUAGGUGUUGGGGGUCGAACCUCAGCGCCCAAGCUAACGCGAUAAGUAAUCCGCCUGGGGAGUACGUACGCAAGUAUGAAACUCAAAUGAAUUGACGGGG